GCACUGCAACCAACCGACGUCAACCAUAAAUAGCGAGCUAGCCAGUUGUUGUUUUGGGGGAAUAAGAAAAGAGCUGCAAGCGGAAGAAACACCGGAUUUGGGCUUUUUCCUCUUCGCUCAUUUAGUUUUUUUCAAAUUGUUUUUGUAUACACAACUGAAAUAAUGUCUACGCCCGCAAGGAGACGGCUAAUGAGGGAUUUUAAAAGACUUCAGGAAGACCCUCCCACCGGUGUGAGCGGAGCGCCGUCUGAGAACAACAUCAUGCUGUGGAACGCUGUUAUUUUUGGGCCUGUGGGGACGCCAUUCGAAGAUGGAACAUUUAAGCUGCUGAUAGAGUUUUCAGAGGAGUAUCCCAACAAGCCCCCCACGGUUCGGUUCGUCUCCAAAAUGUUUCAUCCAAAUGUUUAUGCUGACGGCAGUAUAUGUUUAGACAUUCUCCAGAAUCGCUGGAGCCCGACGUACGACGUGUCGUCCAUACUCACGUCCAUCCAGUCGUUGCUUGAUGAGCCGAACCCCAACAGCCCGGCGAACAGCCAGGCGGCGCAGCUCUACCAGGAAAACAAGAGGGAGUACGAGAAGCGGGUAACGGCCAUCGUGGAGCAGAGCUGGGUGGACGGCUGAGCGUCUUCCUCUCCAUACCCGUCGUCUUCAUCACCCUCCUCAUCAUCAUCCCUCUUCUUCAGCCGCACAUCAAGAAACAACAAAAAACAAAAUUCUCCUUCAGUCAUGACUGAACCCGAUCCGCCAACAUGAAACAGAAACCCCCCUUUCUUAAACAGAGAUGCUCAUAUUGUGGCUUGUGACUUAUUUCACCUAGUAAACAGAAUAUGCUAUCAAAUUUUGAGAAACAAAUGUAUACUUAAAAUAAUAUGCUGUAUAAACAUAAUAAAACACAUUUUUCAGACUUUGA
Molecule: RNA transcript, 910 nt
Organism: Xiphophorus couchianus (Monterrey platyfish)
Lineage: Eukaryota; Metazoa; Chordata; Actinopteri; Cyprinodontiformes; Poeciliidae
Gene: ube2b
Gene name: ubiquitin-conjugating enzyme E2B (RAD6 homolog)
Exons: 7
Source: RefSeq, a predicted model, not a curated record